This 2076-nucleotide unclassified non-coding RNA is filed under the name Ooceraea biroi (clonal raider ant). Its description in RNAcentral is "chitobiosyldiphosphodolichol beta- mannosyltransferase, transcript variant X1". The record is from RNAcentral. Lineage: Eukaryota; Metazoa; Arthropoda; Insecta; Hymenoptera; Formicidae.
CGGUGGAAACCAGACCAUUGAUAUAUUAAGAUAUAAAUAAAAGAAUGUUUUGAAUUAGUAUAUAAGAUCAACUUUCGAGCAAUUUGUUGUACGAACUGGCCUUUUUUAUUCUGCUUUUCGUUUAAGAUGUUUAUAUUGCUUCGAUACAUUGAUUCGAUACUUAAAUUGUUUUGGAUACUUGCGUCCCUUUGGAUAUUUCUGCGUGUCGUACACAAAUUUUGUCUGAAGAAAUUUAAAUCCAACAAAAAUGUUUGUGUGCUGGUGCCCAACGACAUCGGCAGAAGCCCGCGAAUGCAAUAUCACGCAAUCUCUUUCGCCAGGGUAGGCUUUACUGUAGACGUUGUAGGUUACCCUGGUUCAUCACCAAUGAAGGAAGUUGUCGAGAGUCCGCGUAUACAGGUUCACUACCUGCGACCGCCUCCGGAAUUGCGAAACAGAUUACCACUUUUCUUACGUUACGUAGUAAAAGUGAUAUGGCAAACUGUUGAUCUCUUAUGGUCAUUACUUUUCAAACGAAUACCAAAUACAUUAAUAAUUCAAAAUCCCCCUGCGAUACCAACGAUUCCAGUAUGUUGGUUUUACUGCGUUCUGAUGGAAACGCAAUUCAUCAUCGAUUGGCACAAUUAUGCAUAUUCUCUGAUGAGCUUAGGAGAGGAUCAUAUUCUGUUUAAACUGGCCAAACAUAUUGAGAUAACAUUUGGACGCAGAGCAACAAAUAAUUUCUGUGUCACUAGAGCGAUGAAGAAUGAUCUAAUAAGAUGGCACAUUUACUCUAAGGUCAUAUAUGACGAACCAGCCGAUGACUUCCGUCCAAUCUCGUUGAAAGAGAAAAAUGAGUUUUUGUGCAAGUUAGCAGAAAAGUACGCUCUAUCUAUAUCUGAUUCACUCAGAAGAUCCGGAUUUAUUGUGUCCAGCACUAGCUGGACGAAAGAUGAAGAUUUUUUACUUCUGUUUAAUGCAUUGCAAGAGUAUGAAAACGCGUGUGAUAACGAAGAGUUGAAUCUACCUGAUUUAAUUUGCGUGAUAACGGGUAAAGGACCGUUGCGAGAUUUCUACAUGGCCAUCGUUGCCUCGAAAAAAUGGAAACAUGUUCAAGUAAGAACAUUAUGGCUUGAAAAUGAAGAUUAUCCGAAAAUACUAGCUACUGCAGACUUAGGCAUAUGCCUUCAUACGUCAUCCAGUGGAUUGGAUUUACCAAUGAAAAUUGUGAAUAUGUUUGGUUGUGGCUUGCCAGUUUGCGCGUACAAUUUUUAUUGCUUGUCAGAGUUGGUGAGGCACAACGAGAACGGCUUGGUAUUCGCGAGCGAGAACGAGUUGGCUCAACAAUUGAAAAUGUGGUUUCACGAUUUCCCAAAUAACGACGCACAACAACAGUUACGUGAGAAGUUUCAAAAGAACAUGUUUACAUCCCUGGUACAGCGCAAUGCUUGGUGCAACGCUGUGACCACCGGAGAGGAGUUGAACGAUCGGCCGAUCAUCGGCAUUCUGACGCAAGAAAUAGAUUACAAUUUAAAUAAGAAGUAUCCCGAUCAGUAUCAUAGCUACAUCGCUGCGUCAUACGUCAAAUUCGUCGAAGGUGCUGGUGCGCGACCCGUCCCGAUUUGGAUUGGCGCAAACGAUUCAUAUUACGAAGAUAUUUUGAGUAAAAUUAACGGAGUACUGUGGCCGGGAGGUGCGACAUAUUUCUAUCCGAAUGAAGGAUACGCUGAUGCAGGCGCUGCGAUUUACAGAAUCGCGAAGACAAUCAACAAGAGAGGCGAGCACUUUCCCAUACUCGGCAUCUGCCUCGGUUUCGAACUGCUGACGUACGUCGCGGCGAAUCGUGUCGAGCACAGAUCGAAUUGUUCCAGCCAAAAUCAGCCCCUUCCGCUGGAAUUCAAACCGGAUCGCAAUGUCAUGUAAAAUAAUGAAUCUUUAAUUCUAAUGGAAAGAAACUACCAGACCGAUUCUUCACUAAACAUUUCAUCUACUUCAGGAAAAGCAAUUUGUUUAAGAAUGCUCCGUGGGAUGUCGUGGAAAUCCUACAAGAAGAGAAUGUCACGGCAAAUUAUCAUCGCUACUGUGUUACGGAAGAGG